Molecule: long non-coding RNA, 595 nt
Organism: Quercus lobata
Lineage: Eukaryota; Viridiplantae; Streptophyta; Magnoliopsida; Fagales; Fagaceae
Exons: 3
Source: RefSeq, a predicted model, not a curated record
GAUCUUUUUGUGUAAAAGGUGUUUGAGAAAAAGCCGAGCCCAUCUUGAUGUGUUUUAAUUUUAGGAAGUGUAGGUAACCUGAACCAAUCACUGACAAUCAAUCUGAGUCUCCCAAUUCCGGCACUCCUUCCUCAAUCAAUCCCUUUGAUCUUCUCAACGACCAAGAUGACCCUUAUGACCAGGUGUAAGUCAAUUCAAAGACAAAUGGAGAGAAUACAAGAAAUCAAGAAAACUGAAAAGAAAAUGAUAUCCUUGUUUUCUGUCGAAGAGGUGAAUGUGGGGCCGUGGCUGCUAGAAAUCAGAUAAAAAUUCUGUGGAAGGAUGAUGACUACAUUGAACCCUGUUGAGCUUUUACCAGCAAGUUCAAUUCGUUGAUGUCAUUGAUGAUUGAAUCAUGGUUGUGAUAUCAUUAUUUUCAACUAUCAUUGAAUUAUGUUUGUAAAUGAGUUGUAUUGUUUCCAAGAGAGGUGGCACAGACUAAAUUCAGUUCUUUAUAUAUUAUCAAUAUUGAUGCUUUAGUUUGUCAAUUUGAUCAUACUGUUUUGUGUAAAGAACAAUGCCUAGAGUAGUGUUCUUGCUGCAUAUUCUCAGUCUA